UGCUUCUCUUGAGAGCGGCGGACGGGUGAGUAAUGCCUAGGAAUCUGCCUGGUAGUGGGGGAUAACGUCCGGAAACGGACGCUAAUACCGCAUACGUCCUACGGGAGAAAGCAGGGGACCUUCGGGCCUUGCGCUAUCAGAUGAGCCUAGGUCGGAUUAGCUAGUUGGUGGGGUAAUGGCUCACCAAGGCGACGAUCCGUAACUGGUCUGAGAGGAUGAUCAGUCACACUGGAACUGAGACACGGUCCAGACUCCUACGGGAGGCAGCAGUGGGGAAUAUUGGACAAUGGGCGAAAGCCUGAUCCAGCCAUGCCGCGUGUGUGAAGAAGGUCUUCGGAUUGUAAAGCACUUUAAGUUGGGAGGAAGGGCAGUAAAUUAAUACUUUGCUGUUUUGACGUUACCGACAGAAUAAGCACCGGCUAACUCUGUGCCAGCAGCCGCGGUAAUACAGAGGGUGCAAGCGUUAAUCGGAAUUACUGGGCGUAAAGCGCGCGUAGGUGGUUCGUUAAGUUGGAUGUGAAAUCCCCGGGCUCAACCUGGGAACUGCAUUCAAAACUGACGAGCUAGAGUAUGGUAGAGGGUGGUGGAAUUUCCUGUGUAGCGGUGAA
RNAcentral lists this ribosomal RNA (608 nucleotides) under uncultured bacterium. RNAcentral describes it as "bacterial SSU rRNA". It matches the Rfam family "Bacterial small subunit ribosomal RNA", at positions 81 to 685 of the family's 1533-position model. The record is from RNAcentral.